This 248-nucleotide ribosomal RNA is filed under the name uncultured Ruminiclostridium sp. RNAcentral describes it as "partial 16S ribosomal RNA". It matches the Rfam family "Bacterial small subunit ribosomal RNA", at positions 524 to 771 of the family's 1533-position model. Lineage: Bacteria; Bacillati; Bacillota; Clostridia; Eubacteriales; Oscillospiraceae. The record is from RNAcentral.
UACGUAGGUGGCAAGCGUUAUCCGGAUUUACUGGGUGUAAAGGGUGCGUAGGUGGCAUGGCAAGUCAGAAGUGAAAGGCCGGGGCUCAACCUGUGGCCUGCAUUUGAAACUGUUUUUCUUGAGUACUGGAGAGGCAGACGGAAUUCCUAGUGUAGCGGUGAAAUGCGUAGAUAUACGGAGGAACACCAGUGGCGAAGGCGGAUUGCUGGACAGUAACUGACGCUGAGGCGCGAAAGCGUGGGGAGCAA